UACCACAACACCAAGACGACUGUAACCAUCUCCCUGCCUACUAUAAGAGGUGUGCCCGUCUUCUCACCAGACUGGCAGGCAGUCAGCGGUGUACAGAGAGGUAGAAUACCCUGAGCCGAUGAAAGAGAGAAGUGCCUUGAAAAACAACAGGGAAUGGAGAUUGUUGGUUCUGUUCGCACCACAGACUGCCACUGUUUGCAGAGAGCUCACACUCUACUCUACAUUCUAAAUGGUGCAAAUGAAGAGACUUGUUGGACAGAAGAAAAGACAUCCUCAUAGUUCUACUGCCAAAAAACCUUGACGACACAACACGUGGAUACUAGUUUAAGACACUUGGAUUAUAUAUUUCAUACAACAUGACACUCUCUGGAACUGCUUCAGUGGUCAUCGACAUGCCUUCACGUUUUAAUUAGAGUUUUGAAUCAUUUUGCUUUUGGAUUAUGGUUGGAGAUUGGACGGUGGUCUCUGAGCUGUGGUGGUUGUGUGUUGUGGGCCGUGGCUUCAGACUGAAAUAUAUGACAGUAGUCUUGAUCUUCUCUUCAGCUACAUUCCACAAAAGUGAACUAAUCUAAUCCCUAAUGAAAUGACUGAUUGAUCGCCUGGUGAUAAUCUAAACCCGGAUGGAAUGACUGACUGGUAGCCUGGUGAUAAUCUAAACCCUGAUGGAAUGACUGACUGGUAGCCUGGUGAUAAUCUAAACCCRGAUGGAAUGACUGACUGGUAGCCUGGUGAUAAUCUAAACCCUGAUGGAAUGACUGACUGGUAGCCUGGUGGUCUGCAACAGGACUCUCAUGCUACCUCAGCAGGUAUACUCUGGUCCUACUGCAGAAAGUCAACUCUGACAUUUUGGACAUUACGGACACUGCAUGAAGACUAGUGUUGAAAAAUUCCGGUAAAUUUUCCUCAAAUUGCCUUCGGUUUCCAGAAAUCCUGGUUGGAAGAUUGCUGGAAUCAAGCAGGAAAUCUGCGAUUCAUACAAUCAGUUACAGGAAUUUUUCAACCCCAAUGAGGACCAAUCUGAAUUCACUGUCUUUUCUCUACUACUGGCUAAACCUACACAGUGUACUACCGGCUAAACCUACUGCAUGUGGCUCUGGUGCAAAGUAGAUCACUUGCUAGAGAACAGGGUGUAAAUUGGGACUCAUCUCAGUUUGCACCUUAGUCUCUGUAAUAAACCUAAAGAAGCGAACGAUCAUGGCCACCACAGCUCACACCUUGAUGGAGAAUCCAACUGUCUAAACAUGAAUGUGUCACGUCAUAUAUACAUAUAUAUUUAUAUAUUCAACAAAUUGUCUUUUUUUGCACAUUGUGUUUAUAGUUACCUUCUAGUGUGUACUAUGUAAAUAUUGUAAAUACUAAAUAUAUAUGAAGUAUAUAUACAGUGCCAGUCAAAACUUUUGACACAC
This is a non-coding RNA of Salvelinus sp. IW2-2015, 1406 nucleotides long. The record is from RefSeq and is a predicted model, not a curated record. Lineage: Eukaryota; Metazoa; Chordata; Actinopteri; Salmoniformes; Salmonidae.